Molecule: long non-coding RNA, 807 nt
Filed under: Homo sapiens (human)
Lineage: Eukaryota; Metazoa; Chordata; Mammalia; Primates; Hominidae
Description: HSALNT0388398
Source: RNAcentral
GAGCCACCGCGCCCAGCCAUGGAGCUUACAUUCUAACAAUGGAGACAGAUAUUAAACAAAAUCGACAACAUACUACAAGAUGACAGCCACCUACAAGCCAGGAAGAGGCCUCAGAAUUAAACCCACUUUACCAGCACCUUAAUCUUGGACAUCCCAACCUCCCAGCUGACUAUGACAGGUGUCACUGUUAAAAGAAACAUGCUGACGUACUUAGAGGCCGCUUAAGUGCCCUUAUAUGAGGGCAUGGCAGUUGGCUUUCCAGAUUAAAAGAACCCAGGAACAGAGCAAGGAGGAAGACACAAGGCCUUUUACGACCUAGUCUUGGAAGUUGCACACCUUCGCUUCUGACACGUUCUAGUAUCAGUGAAUCACUAAGGCCACCCCACACUCAGGAGGAAGGGAGGUAAGCUGUGUCCCAAAUUGGUGAGUUCUUGGUCUGACUUCAAGAAUGAAGCCACAGACCCUCGGGGUGAGUGUUACACUUCUUAAAGGCAACGUAUCCGGAGUUUGUUCCUUCUCAUGUUCAGAUGUGUUCAGAGUUUUUCCCUUCUGGUGGGUUCGUGGUCUCACUGGUUCAGGAGUGAGGCUGCACACCCUCGCGGUGUAUUGCAGCUCUUAAGGAGGCGCGUCUGGAGUUGUUCAUUGCUCCUGGUGAGUGAAGCUGCAGACCUUCACGUAUUACAGCUCAUUAAGACUGUGUAGACCCAAACAGCGAGCAGCUGCAAGACUUACCUGCAAACAGCAAAAAAAAAAAAAACAAAAAAACAAAAAAACAAAAAACGAGGCUACCACCACAGGCAAAAGGAC